RNAcentral lists this ribosomal RNA (546 nucleotides) under Schmidingerella taraikaensis. RNAcentral describes it as "partial Bacterial small subunit ribosomal RNA". It matches the Rfam family "Bacterial small subunit ribosomal RNA", at positions 343 to 906 of the family's 1533-position model. The record is from RNAcentral. Lineage: Eukaryota; Ciliophora; Spirotrichea; Tintinnida; Rhabdonellidae.
GGGAGGCAGCAGUGGGGAAUAUUGCACAAUGGGCGAAAGCCUGAUGCAGCCAUGCCGCGUGAAUGAUGAAGGCCUUAGGGUUGUAAAAUUCUUUCGCUAGGGAUGAUAAUGACAGUACCUAGUAAAGAAGCCCCGGCUAACUUCGUGCCAGCAGCCGCGGUAAUACGAAGGGGGCUAGCGUUGUUCGGAAUUACUGGGCGUAAAGCGCACGUAGGCGGAUUAUUAAGUCAGAUGUGAAAUCCCAAGGCUCAACCUUGGAACUGCAUUUGAAACUGGUAAUCUAGAGAUCAGGAGAGGUUAGUGGAAUACCAAGUGUAGAGGUGAAAUUCGUAGAUAUUCGGUGGAACACCAGUGGCGAAGGCGACUAACUGGACUGAUACUGACGCUGAGGUGCGAAAGUGUGGGGAGCAAACAGGAUUAGAUACCCUGGUAGUCCACACCGUAAACGCUGUCUACUAACUGUUUGUGGAUUUAAUCCGUGAGUAGUGAAGCUAACGCGAUAAGUAGACCGCCUGGGGAGUACGGUCGCAAGAUUAAAACUCAAAG